RNAcentral lists this transfer RNA (72 nucleotides) under Oikopleura dioica. It matches the Rfam family "tRNA". Rfam says of the family: Transfer RNA (tRNA) molecules are approximately 80 nucleotides in length. Their secondary structure includes four short double-helical elements and three loops (D, anti-codon, and T loops). The record is from Rfam by way of RNAcentral. Lineage: Eukaryota; Metazoa; Chordata; Appendicularia; Copelata; Oikopleuridae.
GGCGGGUUAGCUCAGUGGUAGAGCACUUCACUCGUAAUGAAGGGGUCCCGGGUUCGAACCCCGGUCUCGCCU